UCUAAGCGGGACGUGAUACGCUGCGAUAAGCGUCGGGGAGGUGCGAAUACCCUUUGAUCCGACGAUUUCCGAAUGGGGCAACCCACCUUUGAUGGCUAGAAAAUCUGAACCGUUCUUUGCGGAACGGCUCAAGUUUCUAGCUAUCGUAUAAAGGUAUCUAACUCUGAAUACAUAGGGGUUAGAAGCGAACCUGGGGAACUGAAACAUCUAAGUACCCAGAGGAAAGGACAUCAAACGAGACUCCGCUAGUAGUGGCGAGCGAACGCGGACCAGGCCAGUGGCUUUUGUGAAUGAAGUGGAACGAGUUGGAAAACUCGACCGAAGUGGGUGAUAGUCCCGUACACGUAGAAUAGCAGAAGUCCUUGAGUAGGGCGGGACACGUGAAAUCCUGUCUGAACAUGGGUCGACCACGAUCCAAGCCUAAGUACUCGUGCAUGACCGAUAGCGAACCAGUACCGUGAGGGAAAGGUGAAAAGCACCCCGACGAGGGGAGUGAAACAGUACCUGAAACCGGAUGCCUACAAACAGUUGGAGCCCAAGAUUUGUUCUGGGUGACAGCGUACCUUUUGUAUAAUGGGUCAGCGACUUAGUGUAUCGAGCAAGCUUAAGCCGGUAGGUGUAGGCGCAGCGAAAGCGAGUCUGAACAGGGCGUUCAGUUCGAUGCAUUAGACCCGAAACCAAGUGAUCUAGCCAUGAGCAGGUUGAAGGUACGGUAACACGUACUGGAGGACCGAACCCAUAUCUGUUGCAAUAGAUCGGGAUGACUUGUGGCUAGGGGUGAAAGGGCCAUCAAACUUGGAGAUAGCUGGUUCUCCGCGAAAUCUAUUUAGGUAGAGCGUCGACCGAAUACCCCCGGGGGUAGAGCACUGGAUGGGCUAUGGGGACUCACCGUCUUACUGAUCCUAACCAAACUCCGAAUACCGGGGAGUACUAGUCGGCAGACACACGGCGGGUGCUAACGUCCGUCGUGGAGAGGGCAACAACCCUGACCACCAUCUAAGGUCCCUAAGUUAUGGCUAAGUGGGAAAGGAUGUGAGGAUCCCAAAACAACCAGGAUGUUGGCUUAGAAGCAGCCAUCAUUUAAAGAAAGCGUAACAGCUCACUGGUCUAAAUAAGGGUCUUUGCGCCGAAAAUGUACCGGGGCUCAAGCCAUACACCGAAGCUGUGGAUGCACGUAUGUGCGUGGUAGCGGAGCGUUCCGUAAGCCUGUGAAGGGACAGUCGUGAGACAUCCUGGAGGUAUCGGAAGUGAGAAUGCUGACAUGAGUAACGAUAAAGGGAGUGAGAGACUCCCUCGCCGAAAGUCCAAGGGUUCCUGCUUAAAGUUAAUCUGAGCAGGGUUAGCCGGCCCCUAAGGCGAGGCCGAAAGGCGUAGUCGAUGGGAACCACGUUAAUAUUCGUGGGCCUGCAGGUAGUGACGGAUCGCGUGUGUUGUACGUUCUUAUUGGAUUGAACGUGCAGCGAAGCGGUUCCAGGAAAUAGCUCCUGCAUAUAGACCGUACCCUAAAC
This 1508-nucleotide ribosomal RNA is filed under the name Brucella intermedia. RNAcentral describes it as "bacterial LSU rRNA". It matches the Rfam family "Bacterial large subunit ribosomal RNA", at positions 46 to 1654 of the family's 2925-position model. The record is from RNAcentral. Lineage: Bacteria; Pseudomonadati; Pseudomonadota; Alphaproteobacteria; Hyphomicrobiales; Brucellaceae.